CGCUACCACAUCCAAGGAAGGCAGCAGGCACGCAAAUUACCCAAUCCCAGCUCUGGGAGGUAGUGACGAAAAAUAACAAUGCGGGACUCUUCCGAGUCUGCGUAAUUGGAAUGAGCACACUUUAAAUCCUUUAGCGACAACCGAUUGGAGGGCAAGUCUGGUGCCAGCAGCCGCGGUAAUUCCAGCUCCAAUAGCGUAUAUUAAAGUUGUUGCGGUUAAAAAGCUCGUAGUUCGAGCUCAGUUCCGGACUGGCCGGGGAGGUCACCGCCCGGUGCUUCCCCGUCAGGCUCCGAACAGCUUCCGCCAGCGGAAGCCAAGCCGGUUCUGCCGGGGUGCUCUUCGCCGAGUGUCCCGCGCGGCCGGCCAGUUCACCUUGAACAAAUGAGAGUGCUCAAAGCAGGCUACUCUUGAAUAAUACGCCCGAAUGUUACCUGCAUGGAAUGAUGGAAGAUGAUCUCGGUUCCAUUUUGUUGGUGGUGGGAGCCCGAGGUAAUGAUAAACAGGGACUGUCGGGGGCAUCCGUACUACGACGCGAGAGGUGAAAUUCAGUGACCGUCGUAGGACGAACAACAGCGAAAGCAUUUGCCAAGAAUGUCUUCGUUGAUCAAGAACGAAAGUUAGAGGUUCGAA
This 630-nucleotide ribosomal RNA is filed under the name Urocaridella degravei. Its description in RNAcentral is "bacterial SSU rRNA". It matches the Rfam family "Eukaryotic small subunit ribosomal RNA", at positions 405 to 1002 of the family's 1831-position model. The record is from RNAcentral. Lineage: Eukaryota; Metazoa; Arthropoda; Malacostraca; Decapoda; Palaemonidae.